CGGACGGGUGAGUAACACGUGGGCAAUCUACCUUUCGGUGAGGAAUACCGGCGAGAAAUCGCCGACAAUACCGCAUAUGUUUCGGCAACGAAACAAAGUCGCAAGACGCCGGAGGAGGAGCCUGCGCCCGAUUAGCUAGUUGGUGGAGUAAUGGUCUACCAAGGCGACGAUCGGUAGCUGGUCUGAGAGGAUGAUCAGCCACACUGGGAUUGAGAACGGCCCAG
Molecule: ribosomal RNA, 224 nt
Filed under: uncultured bacterium
Lineage: Bacteria
Description: partial 16S ribosomal RNA
Rfam family: Bacterial small subunit ribosomal RNA
Source: RNAcentral